CUCUUCUCCCUUCUCUGCAGGACAUCGAGUUCUUUGGGGGUCACGAGGAUCCCUCAGACGCCGAGGCUGCCCUGACCCGCCUCGAGGGUGUUUGAGGCUCUACAGGGACACAGAAUGUCUUGACAGUCUCCCAGUUGCCAGUCCCUGCAUCUUAGCCCAGGAGAGGAUGCCGUGGGUCGAGGGAGUCUCCUUUAAGCACCCUAGCUGCCCCGUUACCUGCUUUGUUUUUCUUUGUGGUACUUAUUGCAACCUGAAAUCAAUUAUUUGAGUACCUGUUUCAUGCUUGCCCCUUGACUUGAAUGGGAUGAGAGCAGUGAUGAGUUGGUUAACUGCCAGCUAUGCCCCAGCACUUAGCUAGGUCUGAUACCUCAUGAGUGAAUGAAUGAGGCCAAAUUUUCAGGCCCAUACCACAGAC
RNAcentral lists this long non-coding RNA (415 nucleotides) under Macaca mulatta (Rhesus monkey). Its description in RNAcentral is "lncRNA (ENSMMUG00000052599.1)". The record is from RNAcentral. Lineage: Eukaryota; Metazoa; Chordata; Mammalia; Primates; Cercopithecidae.